UACGUAGGUGGCGAGCGUUGUCCGGAUUUACUGGGCGUAAAGGGAGCGUAGGCGGGCUUUUAAGUGAGAUGUGAAAUACUCGGGCUCAACUUGAGUGCUGCAUUUCAAACUGGAAGUCUAGAGUGCAGGAGAGGAGAAUGGAAUUCCUAGUGUAGCGGUGAAAUGCGUAGAGAUUAGGAAGAACACCAGUGGCGAAGGCGAUUCUCUGGGCUGUAACUGACGCUGAGGCUCGAAAGCGUGGGGAGCAAACAGG
This 253-nucleotide ribosomal RNA is filed under the name uncultured bacterium. RNAcentral describes it as "partial 16S ribosomal RNA". It matches the Rfam family "Bacterial small subunit ribosomal RNA", at positions 524 to 776 of the family's 1533-position model. The record is from RNAcentral.